GCCACCGUAGCUCAGUUGGCAGAGCAUUUGACUUGUAAUCAGAGGGUCGUGGGUUCGAGUCCCACCGGUGGCU
This 73-nucleotide transfer RNA is filed under the name Chloroflexota bacterium. RNAcentral describes it as "Chloroflexi bacterium tRNA-Thr". It matches the Rfam family "tRNA". Rfam says of the family: Transfer RNA (tRNA) molecules are approximately 80 nucleotides in length. Lineage: Bacteria; Bacillati; Chloroflexota. The record is from RNAcentral.